Molecule: ribosomal RNA, 602 nt
Filed under: Chroococcidiopsis cubana c17
Lineage: Bacteria; Bacillati; Cyanobacteriota; Cyanophyceae; Chroococcidiopsidales; Chroococcidiopsidaceae
Description: bacterial SSU rRNA
Rfam family: Bacterial small subunit ribosomal RNA
Source: RNAcentral
GUAUGCUUAACACAUGCAAGUCGAACGGAGCUUUUCGGAGCUUAGUGGCGGACGGGUGAGUAACGCGUGAGAAUCUGCCUUUUGGACCGGGACAACUGCGGGAAACGGCAGCUAAGACCGGAUGUGCCUUCGGGUGAAAUAUUCAUAGCCAAAAGAGGAGCUCGCGACCGAUUAGCUAGUUGGUGGGGUAAGAGCCUACCAAGGCUGCGAUCGGUAGCCGGUUUGAGAGGACGACCGGCCACACUGGGACUGAGACACGGCCCAGACUCCUACGGGAGGCAGCAGUGGGGAAUUUUCCGCAAUGGGCGAAAGCCUGACGGAGCAAUACCGCGUGAGGGAGGAAGGCUCUUGGGUCGUAAACCUCUUUUCUCAGGGAAGAAGCAAUGACGGUACCUGAGGAAUCAGCAUCGGCUAACUCCGUGCCAGCAGCCGCGGUAAUACGGAGGAUGCAAGCGUUAUCCGGAAUGAUUGGGCGUAAAGCGUCCGCAGGUGGCACAUCAAGUCUGCUGUCAAAGCCCCCAGCUUAACUGGGAAGAGGCGGUGGAAACUGGUGAGCUAGAGAGCAAUAGGGGUAGAGGGAAUUCCCGGUGUAGCGGUGAAAU